UACGGGGGGAGCAAGCGUUGUUCGGAUUUACUGGGCGUAAAGGGCGCGUAGGCGGCGCAACAAGUCACUUGUGAAAUCUCCGGGCUUAACUCGGAGCGGCCAAGUGAUACUGUCGUGCUAGAGUGCGGAAGGGGCUACUGGAAUUCUCGGUGUAGCGGUGAAAUGCGUAGAUAUCGAGAGGAACACCUGCGGCGAAGGCGGGUUGCUGGGCUGAUACUGACGCUGAGGCGCGAAAGCCAGGGGAGCGAACGGG
RNAcentral lists this ribosomal RNA (253 nucleotides) under uncultured bacterium. RNAcentral's name for it is "partial 16S ribosomal RNA". It matches the Rfam family "Bacterial small subunit ribosomal RNA", at positions 524 to 776 of the family's 1533-position model. The record is from RNAcentral.